Eurytemora carolleeae is the source of this 526-nucleotide long non-coding RNA. RefSeq lists it as uncharacterized. The transcript has 2 exons. The record is from RefSeq and is a predicted model, not a curated record. Lineage: Eukaryota; Metazoa; Arthropoda; Copepoda; Calanoida; Temoridae.
CCAAGUUCAAUUAUGUACAUGCAAUCCUGAAUUUAAUCUUUCAUUAACUAAUGUAUCACACACAUCUUAUAAUUCUUUUUUAAUUUAAAACCUAGAUCUGUGUAUUUAACCAUUAUAAAAUAUAAAACAUUUUGUUCGGUGAUACUAAAAACUGUGAAUGUGUAAGGUUGGUCUUCAUUACUAACACUAUCAAUACAUCAAAAUCAAUAAAAAACAAGACAUCCAAAUUAGUUGGUACAAUUCAAGUAAAUUUUUUAGCUUUUAAAUCGUCUUUUUAUUCCCCCGUUUUCCGUUAUGUAAGCUGCAUUUUCGAACGUUUUAGUUAUGUAAACUGCAUUUUGAAACGUUUUAGUUACGUAAACUGCAUUUUGAAACGUUUUUAUUAUGUAAACUGGAUUUUCGAAUGUUUUUAUUAUAUAAACUGCAUUUUCGAACGUUUUUGUUAUGUAUACUGCAUUUUGAAAUGUUUUUGUUAUGUAAACUGCAUUUUGGAAUGUCUUUCAAAUGAAUAGAUGAUGAAUAGAUA